RNAcentral lists this ribosomal RNA (2928 nucleotides) under Staphylococcus aureus. RNAcentral's name for it is "23S ribosomal RNA". It matches the Rfam family "Bacterial large subunit ribosomal RNA". Lineage: Bacteria; Bacillati; Bacillota; Bacilli; Caryophanales; Staphylococcaceae. The record is from RNAcentral.
GAUUAAGUUAUUAAGGGCGCACGGUGGAUGCCUUGGCACUAGAAGCCGAUGAAGGACGUUACUAACGACGAUAUGCUUUGGGGAGCUGUAAGUAAGCUUUGAUCCAGAGAUUUCCGAAUGGGGAAACCCAGCAUGAGUUAUGUCAUGUUAUCGAUAUGUGAAUACAUAGCAUAUCAGAAGGCACACCCGGAGAACUGAAACAUCUUAGUACCCGGAGGAAGAAAAAGAAAAUUCGAUUCCCUUAGUAGCGGCGAGCGAAACGGGAAGAGCCCAAACCAACAAGCUUGCUUGUUGGGGUUGUAGGACACUCUAUACGGAGUUACAAAGGACGACAUUAGACGAAUCAUCUGGAAAGAUGAAUCAAAGAAGGUAAUAAUCCUGUAGUCGAAAAUGUUGUCUCUCUUGAGUGGAUCCUGAGUACGACGGAACACGUGAAAUUCCGUCGGAAUCUGGGAGGACCAUCUCCUAAGGCUAAAUACUCUCUAGUGACCGAUAGUGAACCAGUACCGUGAGGGAAAGGUGAAAAGCACCCCGGAAGGGGAAGUGAGUGAAAUAGAACCUGAAACCGUGUGCUUACAAGUAGUCAGAGCCCGUUAAUGGGUGAUGGCGUGCCUUUUGUAGAAUGAACCGGCGAGUUACGAUUUGAUGCAAGGUUAAGCAGUAAAUGUGGAGCCGUAGCGAAAGCGAGUCUGAAUAGGGCGUUUAGUAUUUGGUCGUAGACCCGAAACCAGGUGAUCUACCCUUGGUCAGGUUGAAGUUCAGGUAACACUGAAUGGAGGACCGAACCGACUUACGUUGAAAAGUGAGCGGAUGAACUGAGGGUAGCGGAGAAAUUCCAAUCGAACCUGGAGAUAGCUGGUUCUCUCCGAAAUAGCUUUAGGGCUAGCCUCAAGUGAUGAUUAUUGGAGGUAGAGCACUGUUUGGACGAGGGGCCCCUCUCGGGUUACCGAAUUCAGACAAACUCCGAAUGCCAAUUAAUUUAACUUGGGAGUCAGAACAUGGGUGAUAAGGUCCGUGUUCGAAAGGGAAACAGCCCAGACCACCAGCUAAGGUCCCAAAAUAUAUGUUAAGUGGAAAAGGAUGUGGCGUUGCCCAGACAACUAGGAUGUUGGCUUAGAAGCAGCCAUCAUUUAAAGAGUGCGUAAUAGCUCACUAGUCGAGUGACACUGCGCCGAAAAUGUACCGGGGCUAAACAUAUUACCGAAGCUGUGGAUUGUCCUUUGGACAAUGGUAGGAGAGCGUUCUAAGGGCGUUGAAGCAUGAUCGUAAGGACAUGUGGAGCGCUUAGAAGUGAGAAUGCCGGUGUGAGUAGCGAAAGACGGGUGAGAAUCCCGUCCACCGAUUGACUAAGGUUUCCAGAGGAAGGCUCGUCCGCUCUGGGUUAGUCGGGUCCUAAGCUGAGGCCGACAGGCGUAGGCGAUGGAUAACAGGUUGAUAUUCCUGUACCACCUAUAAUCGUUUUAAUCGAUGGGGGGACGCAGUAGGAUAGGCGAAGCGUGCGAUUGGAUUGCACGUCUAAGCAGUAAGGCUGAGUAUUAGGCAAAUCCGGUACUCGUUAAGGCUGAGCUAUGAUGGGGAGAAGACAUUGAGUCUUCGAGUCGUUGAUUUCACACUGCCGAGAAAAGCCUCUAGAUAGAAAAUAGGUGCCCGUACCGCAAACCGACACAGGUAGUCAAGAUGAGAAUUCUAAGGUGAGCGAGCGAACUCUCGUUAAGGAACUCGGCAAAAUGACCCCGUAACUUCGGGAGAAGGGGUGCUCUUUAGGGUUAACGCCCAGAAGAGCCGCAGUGAAUAGGCCCAAGCGACUGUUUAUCAAAAACACAGGUCUCUGCUAAACCGUAAGGUGAUGUAUAGGGGCUGACGCCUGCCCGGUGCUGGAAGGUUAAGAGGAGUGGUUAGCUUCUGCGAAGCUACGAAUCGAAGCCCCAGUAAACGGCGGCCGUAACUAUAACGGUCCUAAGGUAGCGAAAUUCCUUGUCGGGUAAGUUCCGACCCGCACGAAAGGCGUAACGAUUUGGGCACUGUCUCAACGAGAGACUCGGUGAAAUCAUAGUACCUGUGAAGAUGCAGGUUACCCGCGACAGGACGGAAAGACCCCGUGGAGCUUUACUGUAGCCUGAUAUUGAAAUUCGGCACAGCUUGUACAGGAUAGGUAGGAGCCUUUGAAACGUGAGCGCUAGCUUACGUGGAGGCGCUGGUGGGAUACUACCCUAGCUGUGUUGGCUUUCUAACCCGCACCACUUAUCGUGGUGGGAGACAGUGUCAGGCGGGCAGUUUGACUGGGGCGGUCGCCUCCUAAAAGGUAACGGAGGCGCUCAAAGGUUCCCUCAGAAUGGUUGGAAAUCAUUCAUAGAGUGUAAAGGCAUAAGGGAGCUUGACUGCGAGACCUACAAGUCGAGCAGGGUCGAAAGACGGACUUAGUGAUCCGGUGGUUCCGCAUGGAAGGGCCAUCGCUCAACGGAUAAAAGCUACCCCGGGGAUAACAGGCUUAUCUCCCCCAAGAGUUCACAUCGACGGGGAGGUUUGGCACCUCGAUGUCGGCUCAUCGCAUCCUGGGGCUGUAGUCGGUCCCAAGGGUUGGGCUGUUCGCCCAUUAAAGCGGUACGCGAGCUGGGUUCAGAACGUCGUGAGACAGUUCGGUCCCUAUCCGUCGUGGGCGUAGGAAAUUUGAGAGGAGCUGUCCUUAGUACGAGAGGACCGGGAUGGACAUACCUCUGGUGUACCAGUUGUCGUGCCAACGGCAUAGCUGGGUAGCUAUGUGUGGACGGGAUAAGUGCUGAAAGCAUCUAAGCAUGAAGCCCCCCUCAAGAUGAGAUUUCCCAACUUCGGUUAUAAGAUCCCUCAAAGAUGAUGAGGUUAAUAGGUUCGAGGUGGAAGCAUGGUGACAUGUGGAGCUGACGAAUACUAAUCGAUCGAAGACUUAAUCAA